CAUGUGGUGCAUGACUAUCUGUCUCAUCGUAAUUGCUGUGAAGUAAAAGGGAAGGAAGAGGCACUUUUUGUAAACAAGUAUUUCAGUGUGUGGAGAACUUGGUGUAGCACAGUGGUGCAAACACUCUAGAACUCAAUGCAAAAACCUGAGACUGCAAAAAUAAGCAAACAUCUUGAAGAAAGAAGGAAUUGAAAGUAUUGAAGGAGAAAACUGCACAGUUCUUGUGGGUUUUUUUGUUGUUGUUGUUUUGUUUUGUUUUGUUGAAUUAUACUGCUUCUCGAGCAAGGAGAAGAGAAAAGAUGGCUUUAAAAGAUUUGGCUUGCAACGAGUUGUUUGAAAUCAUGCUACUACAAAAACACUGUCUUCUUCCCUCAUCGAUUUGUAGAGUUUUCAUGGUGUUCCAUUCGCAGAUCCUUUGGAGUGUCUAUAAUUUCUUUCUCUGAUUUUAUACACCUUAGACAUGUGGCAAGAAAAGUGUUUUUUUGACUGUGCAGAAAUACUGUGGCAACAGACAAGAUCGUAUUUGGAAGUGGGAUCACUUUCUCAGUUGAACCAAGUAAGUUCUGCUUGUUUUUGCUACUAAUUCUUCAUUUUGGGGUGGACAGAAUGGGUAGUGGGAUACUGCGGUUUGAGUUUUCUGCCUUUCAGGAUCAGAACACGUACUUUCCAACCAGGUGUCUUGGUCCUGACUUCAACCUGACAAAUAUUUUCUGGAGCAACAAUGUUGGUUUCUUAGCUCUGUGAACAAGCAUUGCUCCACAGAUCUCCAACCCCAGCACUCCUCCUUGCCCUUUAGUGGCUGUACUACUCAAUUUAACACUGUAUUAAUUAUACCCUGGGGGGAGGGGUUGUUCUGUCCUAGCUUUAGUAUGAGGUGAAAGUUGUUUUCUUUCAUUUGUGCAGAGCCAAGGUGUAUGGAAAGGAGAAGAGAAAUGUUAAGUGCUUCAGCAGAAAAGAGGUCCUAUGGAAAGAUAGGACACAACAUUUAUAGCAAUAAAUGAUUGAAAUGUGAGAAAGCACUGCAUGUUUGGAAAUGCCACUCUACAAAAGGUAGUCUUUGUAAGGAUAUUCCUCUUCCCCAGCUUUUGUGUAGAACUUAGAGCAAUAGAUAAGUGUAUUGAGUUAAUUUAUAUUGCUCUAAAACACUCAUUUACCUACCAUCACCCUCCACUUGCCUUCUGCCCUACCCUGAUUCACAUACAUUGUUUCAAUGGUUUCCAUGGUUUCCAGGCACUGAAACAACUGCCCAAUGGCAAGCAGAGACCUGGUCUCUAGCACCUCCAUGACUGGAGGACCCACAACUCUCUGGGCAGCUGUGUCAAAAAGAUUUCUAACAUCUAAACUGAAUUUCCCCUCUACUAGUUUAAACUACUAAUAAUAAGCCAUUUCCCCUUGUCCUAUCACUUUCAGACUGUGUAAAAAGUUGGUCCUCCUCCUGCUUAUAGGCUCCUGUCAAGCCCUGGAAGGCCACAGCAAGGUAUCCUGGCAGCCUUCUCUUCUCUAGGAUGAGCACUCCCAGCUCAGCCCAUCUCCAUAGUAGAAGUGCUGCAACCCUCAGAGCUUAAACAUUUGAGAUGUCAGGGAACAGUGGGUUAGCUGAUCUUUAAUGGAUGAGAGCUAAGAAUGACAGCAUAGCCAGAAGGACUUGUUAUGCUGCUGAAUGAGUAGGUUAGGCUUGGGUGCCCAAGGAAGGAAUUCAGGUCAGUUCUCAAGUCAAGGCCCAGAUCAACAGGGUCCAUAGAAACACAGGAUUAUAGAAUCACAGAACUGCUUGUGUUGGUAGAGACCUUAAAAAUUAUCUAUUUCCAACGACCAUGUCAGAAAAUGGACAGCUCCCACUGAAUCAGGUUGCUGAGCCCCAUUCAACUUGGUUGUGAACAACCCUCAGCAUGGGGCAUCCACAUCUUCUCAGGGCAACCUGUUCCAGUACUUUACCAUUCUUAUAAUGAAAAUUUUCUUCGUAAUAUCUAAGCUAAAUUUACAGAGUUUAUUUUUUUACUUUUAAGCCAUUAUUCCUUAGCCUAUCACUACACUUCUGGAUCUAGAGUCCCUCUCCAGCUUUCCUGUAGGUCCCCUGUAAGUACUGGCAGGCUGCUAUUUAUGUCUUCUCAGGUGUUUCUCUUCUAGAAUAACCUCAACUCGCUCAGCCUCUCUGGGUUCUCAUGGGAGAAUUGCUCCUGCCUCCUGAUCAUAUCACAGAAUUUGGUUUCUUUUUCAGAAAGACAAAAAGAUUCUACACCAGAAGUCAUUGCACUUAAAUCAAAGGAGUGCAAACAGUAUGCCAGUGUUUUGAAUGUGGCUUGUUUGGCAAGAACAUUCUACAAGAACAUUAGUCUUGAUGGGCCCAAGGGUGACAUUGUGUAUGAUCUGAAGGAACCUAUUCUCACAUCUGAGGGGAUGUACAGUACCUUGAAAGUAGUCGGCGUAAAACGAGAUACAGAAGGGACCUGCAAAGCUGUGCACAAGGGGAAUAAGACUGUAGCAAGCACAGUCCUGCCUGGUAAAAACACAAACUGAUUCUGUUAGACGGCUCUUCCAAUAUACUUUUUGUUUUCUGAGCACUUAGCAGCCACAAUUUAGGUACAGUCAGAAAGAUUUUUUAGGUGCUUAGUCAUGUGGAAACUAGGUAUUGAGAAGAACCCAGUGUAGAUUAUCUUAAUUCAGCUAUAUAAGAAUUUAGAGUUUUCUUCUCAAAACACAAAAAGGAAAAGCAGCCAACCACACAACAACAGUAACAUCAAGAAACACCAAGCAGAAGCUAAAACCAAAACCAUUAAUUUUUGGCUGCCUACUUUUAUCUAAGGCAGAAGAGUUCAAGUCAUGAGUAUAUGUAUAACAGUAGAAAGUCUGAAAUAAUUUAUGAAAAUAAAAAUAAGAAGUUUGAUUUUUUUUUUUUCUAAAUCUUUUGUUUAUUUUUUAUUUUUCUUAUGGUAAAGUGCAUUCCAAAAAGGAGAUAAAAUUCUUAGUGGAAAAAUCCUGGUGGAUUUUUCUAGCAAUCACUUGUAAACAGCUAGUAUUUAUCUUCAUAAUAAUUUCAGAAUUAGUGACCUGCCUUUCAUCUGAUAGUCUAAUUUUACUGUUGGGAAACGGGGUAUAGGUGUGCUUUAUGUAAUUCUUGUUUCAUCUAGUUUACAAACAGUUUAUAGUGUCUCUCAAUCAUUCAACAGAAGAGAAAGAUGAAGAACUGGCAUCAGAGAAUGCUUGCAACUUUACAGAUGCCUCUAAAAAAGAUGUCAAAAUGGAGAAAAUGAAUAUGCUGUUCAUGGUUGUUUUGGGUUUGAGGGUCCUGCUGGCAAAAUGCAUCGCCUUCAACACACUCAUGAGUAUCUGUCCAUUCAUAUUCUGAGGUAGGAAAUACAUCAUUCAGCCCUUGGGAGCAUAGGAGUCAAGUGAAGGAAGUGUAGACCAGUUGGCUUUGCAUCCUUCUAUAAACCCACCACGAGUGAUAUCAGCUCUGUUUUUUCAUCUUCCAGUGAUUUAUUCAAUAUUUCCAUUGACUAAUUAAUUGGCUGCUCAUCAAACAGCUUUAUAGGUCAGGCUAGCCCAGAGAAAGUCUGGAGAAAAGUCCAGAUCAGCAUGGACUGUAAGAGAGUAAUCCCCAAACACAGCAAAUGUGAAAUCAGGAAGGAAAACUAUGGAGGGAGAAUUUUGAAGAAUAAGUAUCCAAAAUGACCAAAAAGAUUAUCCAGUCCAAGUCCAUUCCAAAUUAACAAAUCUCAUUAAACAAAUGUUUCUCUUUCAGGUAUUAGGUAAGUGAGCCAGCAGUGGGCUGAAGAAGAAGAGAAUAUAUAGCAGUAUAAUUUAAAUUCUAUGGCUCAACUUUGCUGACAAUAAGCAUUUAAAAAAAAAGAAAACAAAGAAGCCACCCCCCAUUCCCUGUUCCUGUAGAUAUGUCCCAUCACUUCAUGAUGGUGCUCUUUAGUUAACAUCAUCUGAAAGCUAUCUUAAACUGUUAAUACUGUUUAACUCUUGCCUUUUUCAGUUUUAUUAAUUGUUAAAAUAACAAUUUGUUAUUUCUUAUUUCCUUACAAAAUUUCCUUCAUCCUUAUGCUAAGCAGGAAUACUUACAUCUCUAACUUUAGCCAAACAUCCUAGUUUUGAAAGUGUUAAAACUGAGCUUAUUUACUUACUAUGCUUUAAAAAUAACAUCUCUCUUGUCAUAUUGCAUUACUGUCUACAGAAGCAAUGUCAUACUGCUUAGGGAUCCCUAAACAUAAAGGAAAUAUUGUAUGGUCUUUUUUAUUGUAUUGUCUUUUUAAAAAACUUAACAAGUGGUAAUUUUCUAGUGUAUGUAAACUCUGUUGAUCUCUGCUAGAUCUGAAGGAACUGACUGUAGUCAGAUUUAUAGUAGGACUUCCAUUUGUUUCUAUUCUUCAGAACAUUUUACUCUUUGUUAAGUAUGUGGACCCUGAAUUUUAGGUUUCCUUAAUUAAGGUCAAAAUAAAGUUUUAUUACGUUGAA
Non-coding RNA from Coturnix japonica (Japanese quail), 4461 nucleotides. NCBI's taxonomy places the organism in Eukaryota, Metazoa, Chordata, Aves, Galliformes, Phasianidae. The record is from RefSeq and is a predicted model, not a curated record.